RNAcentral lists this ribosomal RNA (394 nucleotides) under Theileria ornithorhynchi. Its description in RNAcentral is "bacterial SSU rRNA". It matches the Rfam family "Eukaryotic small subunit ribosomal RNA", at positions 462 to 880 of the family's 1831-position model. The record is from RNAcentral. Lineage: Eukaryota; Apicomplexa; Aconoidasida; Piroplasmida; Theileriidae.
AGGUAGUGACAAGAAAUAACAAUACGGGGCUUUACGCCUUGUAAUUGGAAUGAUGGGAAUCUAAACCCCUUCCAGAGUAUCAAUUGGAGGGCAAGUCUGGUGCCAGCAGCCGCGGUAAUUCCAGCUCCAAUAGCGUAUAUUAAAGUUGUUGCAGUUAAAAAGCUCGUAGUUGUACUUCUGUCGCUUUCUUUUGCUUGCACUUCGGUGUUUUGCUUUAGUUGCGGCCUUUUCUGGUUCUUCGUUGGUUUCCUUCGUUGUUCCAGUUUUUUACUUUGAGAAAAUUAGAGUGUUUCAAGCAGGCUUUUGCCUUGAAUACUACAGCAUGGAAUAAUAAAGUAGGACUUUGGUUCUAUUUUGUUGGUUUUGCGAGCCAAAGUAAUGGUUAAUAGGAACA